Molecule: ribosomal RNA, 253 nt
Filed under: uncultured bacterium
Lineage: Bacteria
Description: partial 16S ribosomal RNA
Rfam family: Bacterial small subunit ribosomal RNA
Source: RNAcentral
UACGAAGGGGGCUAGCGUUGUUCGGAAUCACUGGGCGUAAAGCGCACGUAGGCGGACAUUUAAGUCAGGGGUGAAAUCCCGAGGCUCAACCUCGGAACUGCCCUUGAUACUGGGUGUCUUGAGUAUGGUAGAGGUUGGUGGAACUGCGAGUGUAGAGGUGAAAUUCGUAGAUAUUCGCAAGAACACCAGUGGCGAAGGCGGCCAACUGGACCAUCACUGACGCUGAGGUGCGAAAGCGUGGGGAGCGAACAGG